CCCCAUGUAAAUUUUCCGGUCCAAUGCAUGAUUUCUUGUCCACACCAUCAAGCCUGCGAGGACAAUAGCCUUCAGACAAAAUUAUGCCUGACUCUCCAGGACCAAUGAGCGCAGUGGAGUCACUGCUACUGACUGUGCAGUGCCAAAUUGACAACCUGGAGAUUUGAGGCAGACAUGAGAACUUUAGGGUUAGAGGCCUUUCAGAGCCUGACGAAGCCCAAUUAGCUGUUACGCUGGAGACCUUGGGUACAGAAGCCCUGCUGGAGAUCCAGUUUGACAUGGUGCCUCCUCAACAAGAUUGCUGCCCGUGAAAUGCUGUAUGUUGC
Molecule: non-coding RNA, 326 nt
Organism: Pelobates cultripes (western spadefoot toad)
Lineage: Eukaryota; Metazoa; Chordata; Amphibia; Anura; Pelobatidae
Source: the annotation of a GenBank genome assembly